AGUCACUGACAUUAGAUACCCCGGUAGUCCCAGCCGUAAACUAUGCGCGUUAGGUGUACUGGUGACCACGAGUCACCGGGGUGCCGAAGGGAAACCGUGAAACGUGCCGCCUGGGAAGUACGGUCGCAAGGCUGAAACUUAAAGGAAUUGGCGGGGGAGCACCGCAACGGGAGGAGCGUGCGGUUUAAUUGGAUUCAACACCGUAAAACUCACCAGGGAAGACUGUUACAUGAAAGCCGAGUUGAAGACUCUGCUAGAUUUUCAG
This 265-nucleotide ribosomal RNA is filed under the name uncultured archaeon. RNAcentral's name for it is "partial 16S ribosomal RNA". It matches the Rfam family "Archaeal small subunit ribosomal RNA", at positions 718 to 982 of the family's 1478-position model. The record is from RNAcentral.